CAGUCCUUACUCAUGGUACAAGAAGUAGAGUCAGCGAGGAUAUAAAGAUGCACAGAUCUCUCUCAUAAAGGAUUAUAACUGAUCAGAGAUGCAUACUGAUUACCACAUUACUAGGUUAAAUUUGUCUCUACCUCUGACCCUUAAAUAAUAUAAUCUGAUUGUUGAGCAGUGUAUGUUGUCGUCAGUAGGAUCAUGCAAAAUAAUGCUUGCCCGGAGAUUGGGCCCGUUAAGUACCUCGGUGCAAGAGUAAGGUGCAGAGGCGGAUCUUAAAAGGGGCAAGAGGGGGCAACUGACCCCCCUUAAUUUUUUUGUUUGUUAAUAUUUUACAUAUUUUUAGGUUGUAAAAUUGAAAUUGACCCCCCUUAACUUCAUAGUCAGAUCCGCCACUGGUAAGGUGUAUGAUCUUUUUAACUCAAGACUCUUAAAGUUUUUGUGGUAGUUAGUUACCUCCUUCCUGAAUUCACCAUGUUCCUAUUGAUAGGGUUCAUUGGCUUUUAUCUUCCUGUGACACCUGUCUCUAUCACGUGUUUUUUCCUUGAGGGUUCGACGAUGGACAUACCAUGUUGUCUUUGCCCUGGUAAAUAGUUAGCGGGAAAGGUGAUUAGACGAGUCAGUGGGCCCUAUCAUUGCCCCCUGCCCCCUACUAAAGUACAUUCAAUGAAGUAGGGGGCAAUAACAGGGUCCAUUUUCAUACACUUCCCUCUGACUCGUCUAAGCACCCUCCCCGCUAACUAUUUAUCGGGGCAAAGACAGCGGGGUUUGUCUGUCAUCGACCCCUCCGGGUCACACAGAGGAAAAAACACGUACUCCCUCCGUCCCAAUUUAUGUGAACGGGGUUGACUUUCACGGAGAUUAAGAAAAAGGUAGUAAAUGUAGUUGAAAAGUGGGUAAAGUGGUGGGACCCAUCAAUAUUUAAUAAUAAAUUUGGGAUAGUGGAGGAAAGUAGUGGGUGUAAUAGUGUUUAUUAUAAGAGCAUCUCCAACCAUCUAAAACCCUUGGCUAAAAGGUGAGUUGACUUACUUAAAAUAAAAAAAUUUAGCCAACAGCUCCAAAAACUCAACUCCAACCAUGCUCACCUGUUGUCUAUAAAUUUAGCCAACCUCCUGUGGAUGGCUAAAUUUGUCGAACAUCUACAAGUCUGUAAGAAAAUCUGUAGGAAGAUCGUACAUCAUUUAUUACCAUAUUGAACUGAUAUAUUUUAUUUUAACAAUUUAAAAUAUUAAUAACAUACUAUUAUUAAAUUAUAGCCAACCAAUAUAGCCGGUACCAUUGAAGCAAAAUGUCUUACAGGUUCAGCAAAUUUUACAUAAUGUCUUACAAGUCCAAUUUAGCCAACGAUUAUAGCCAACGCCGUUGGAGAUGCUCUAAGAGAAUAUAAUUUCUAAAUGGAGUAAACACUUGAAAUAUCAGAUCCUAGAUGAGUAUAUUCUAAUUGCGGCAACUUCUUCAUUGAUUGAUAAUGAUGGAUGGAAUUAGGCUUUCUGGAAGUAAACUUUCUUAUACUAAACUAUUGUAAUAUAAAUUCCUAGUCAUAUAAAAUAUAUUAAUAUCCUUUUUUAUCUUCUGGCAAACAAGAAACUAGGAUUUAAAAUUACUUUGGGUACUCCAGUGGAAAACACAUUGAAAAUUAAAACCAACUUUAGUAUAACAGUGUCUUAUUCUAAUUCCCCAUUUCCCCCCGAUUGACAUGCCCAUCAGUUGUCUCCUAUUAAGAUGUUGAAAAUUCAGUAAUUUCUUGGUGAAAGUUCUGGUUUACUUGAACAUGAGUUUGUGCAGUUCGUGUUAAAGUCGUCUAGUUUUGUUGCGAUUUUCUAGCUCAAUUUUAAUCAUAAUAUAUCAAUUCAAAAAAUUUAGAAGUUUUCAGAGAAUUAAAUUAUGUUCCAAGGUACUUUUAUGAUUGAGUAUAGUCAUUAUAGACUGCAUACAAGAAUAUAAUUGCUUUCUAUAACAGUCCUUACUCAUGGUACAAGAAGUAGAGUCAGCGAGGAUAUAAAGAUGCACAGAUCUCUCUCAUAAAGGAUUAUAACUGAUCAGAGAUGCAUACUGAUUACCACAUUACUAGGUUAAAUUUGUCUCUACCUCUGACCCUUAAAUAAUAUAAUCUGAUUGUUGAGCAGUGUAUGUUGUCGUCAGUAGGAUCAUGCAAAAUAAUGCUUGCCCGGAGAUUGGGCCCGUUAAGUACCUCGGUGCAAGAGUAAGGUGCAGAGGCGGAUCUUAAAAGGGGCAAGAGGGGGCAACUGACCCCCCUUAAUUUUUUUGUUUGUUAAUAUUUUACAUAUUUUUAGGUUGUAAAAUUGAAAUUGACCCCCCUUAAUUUUUUUGUGACCCCUUUUAAUUUUUUUUACAAAAAAAUUGACCCCCCUUAACUUCAUAGUCAGAUCCGCCACUGGUAAGGUGUAUGAUCUUUUUAACUCAAGACUCUUAAAGUUUUUGUGGUAGUUAGUUACCUCCUUCCUGAAUUCACCAUGUUCCUAUUGAUAGGGUUCAUUGGCUUUUAUCUUCCUGUGACACCUGUCUCUAUCACGUGUUUUUUCCUUGAGGGUUCGACGAUGGACAUACCAUGUUGUCUUUGCCCUGGUAAAUAGUUAGCGGGAAAGGUGAUUAGACGAGUCAGUGGGCCCUAUCAUUGCCCCCUGCCCCCUACUAAAGUACAUUCAAUGAAGUAGGGGGCAAUAACAGGGUCCAUUUUCAUACACUUCCCUCUGACUCGUCUAAGCACCCUCCCCGCUAACUAUUUAUCGGGGCAAAGACAGCGGGGUUUGUCUGUCAUCGACCCCUCCGGGUCACACAGAGGAAAAAACA
RNAcentral lists this long non-coding RNA (2802 nucleotides) under Daucus carota (carrot). RNAcentral's name for it is "long non-coding RNA (DCAR_LNC003044)". The record is from RNAcentral. Lineage: Eukaryota; Viridiplantae; Streptophyta; Magnoliopsida; Apiales; Apiaceae.